Stegostoma tigrinum is the source of this 356-nucleotide long non-coding RNA. RefSeq lists it as uncharacterized. The record is from RefSeq and is a predicted model, not a curated record. The transcript has 4 exons. Lineage: Eukaryota; Metazoa; Chordata; Chondrichthyes; Orectolobiformes; Stegostomatidae.
CAGAUUCCUCUGGGCUAUGGGAUGGCUGCAACAGUUCGUGUCGGCUGUAAACUCUGUUAAAGCUGCCCUCGGUUGUAUUGAGAAAUUAUGCAUUUAGUUGCAGAAAUAAUUUCACUGGGUGCUGCCUAUCAUUGGAUCAAUGCCUUUUGGUACCUGCCAGAGAUUCUGCCAUGGUUAUAAGCUUCUACUUUCCUCUUUAGUACAAUUGCAAUCUCACAUGGAAUUUUACAGCCAUUUGGAGUCAAAGUCAUUAAGGGUGUCAGUGGUGGAGGUGUUAAGAGGAGUUGGGAAGCAAAAGCUGGGAGCUAUUGCUAACCUAGUUGGUUAUUACUUAAUUGGGUUUCCCAUUGGAAUUG